GAUGAAGAACGCAGCGAAAUGCGAUAAGUAGUGUGAAUUGCAGAAUUCAGUGAAUCAUCGAAUCUUUGAACGCACAUUGCGCCCGCCAGCACUCUGGCGGGCAUGCCUGUUCGAGCGUCAUUUCAACCAUCAAGCCCCAGGCUUGCGUUGGAGCCCUGCGGCUGCCGCAGCCUCCUAAAAGCAGUGGCGGGCUCGCUAUCACACCGAGUGCAGUAGAUUACUCUUCGCUCAGGGCGUGCAGCGGGUUCCGGCCGUGAAACCCCCUACUUUUAAAGGUUGACCUCGGAUCAGGUAGGAAUACCCGCUGAACUUAAGCAUAUCAAUAAGCGGAGGA
RNAcentral lists this unclassified non-coding RNA (334 nucleotides) under soil metagenome. RNAcentral's name for it is "partial contains 5.8S ribosomal RNA, internal transcribed spacer 2, and large subunit ribosomal RNA". The stretch from base 1 to 120 matches the Rfam family "5.8S ribosomal RNA", at positions 35 to 154 of the family's 154-position model. The record is from RNAcentral.